CCUUGCCUUGCUACACUUCACGCUGCAUGCUAUUGCUUAUACCUCUCAACAGCUGCUACGUGGAGUGGAGCAGUGUACCA
Non-coding RNA from Saccoglossus kowalevskii, 80 nucleotides. Lineage: Eukaryota; Metazoa; Hemichordata; Enteropneusta; Harrimaniidae. The record is from RefSeq and is marked provisional.